RNAcentral lists this ribosomal RNA (2905 nucleotides) under Enterobacter hormaechei. RNAcentral describes it as "23S ribosomal RNA". It matches the Rfam family "Bacterial large subunit ribosomal RNA". RNAcentral also lists the same sequence under 1 other name. Lineage: Bacteria; Pseudomonadati; Pseudomonadota; Gammaproteobacteria; Enterobacterales; Enterobacteriaceae. The record is from RNAcentral.
GGUUAAGCGACUAAGCGUACACGGUGGAUGCCCUGGCAGUCAGAGGCGAUGAAGGACGUGCUAAUCUGCGAAAAGCGCCGGCGAGGUGAUAUGAACCCUUGACCCGGCGAUGUCCGAAUGGGGAAACCCAGUGUGAUUCGUCACACUAUCGUUAACUGAAUACAUAGGUUAACGAGGCGAACCGGGGGAACUGAAACAUCUAAGUACCCCGAGGAAAAGAAAUCAACCGAGAUUCCCCCAGUAGCGGCGAGCGAACGGGGAGCAGCCCGGAGUCUGAAUCAGCUUGUGUGUUAGUGGAACGGUCUGGAAAGUCCGACGGUACAGGGUGAUAGUCCCGUACACGAAAGCACACAUGCUGUGAACUCGAAGAGUAGGGCGGGACACGUGGUAUCCUGUCUGAAUAUGGGGGGACCAUCCUCCAAGGCUAAAUACUCCUGACUGACCGAUAGUGAACCAGUACCGUGAGGGAAAGGCGAAAAGAACCCCGGCGAGGGGAGUGAAAAAGAACCUGAAACCGUGUACGUACAAGCAGUGGGAGCCUCUUUAUGGGGUGACUGCGUACCUUUUGUAUAAUGGGUCAGCGACUUAUAUUCUGUAGCAAGGUUAACCGUAUAGGGGAGCCGAAGGGAAACCGAGUCUUAACUGGGCGUUAAGUUGCAGGGUAUAGACCCGAAACCCGGUGAUCUAGCCAUGGGCAGGUUGAAGGUUGGGUAACACUAACUGGAGGACCGAACCGACUAAUGUUGAAAAAUUAGCGGAUGACCUGUGGCUGGGGGUGAAAGGCCAAUCAAACCGGGAGAUAGCUGGUUCUCCCCGAAAGCUAUUUAGGUAGCGCCUCGUGAAUUCAUCUUCGGGGGUAGAGCACUGUUUCGGCUAGGGGGCCAUCCCGGCUUACCAACCCGAUGCAAACUACGAAUACCGAAGAAUGUUAUCACGGGAGACACACGGCGGGUGCUAACGUCCGUCGUGAAGAGGGAAACAACCCAGACCGCCAGCUAAGGUCCCAAAGUCAUGGUUAAGUGGGAAACGAUGUGGGAAGGCACAGACAGCCAGGAUGUUGGCUUAGAAGCAGCCAUCAUUUAAAGAAAGCGUAAUAGCUCACUGGUCGAGUCGGCCUGCGCGGAAGAUGUAACGGGGCUAAACCAUGCACCGAAGCUGCGGCAGCGACACUAUGUGUUGUUGGGUAGGGGAGCGUUCUGUAAGCCGUUGAAGGUGUGCUGUGAGGCAUGCUGGAGGUAUCAGAAGUGCGAAUGCUGACAUAAGUAACGAUAAAGCGGGUGAAAAGCCCGCUCGCCGGAAGACCAAGGGUUCCUGUCCAACGUUAAUCGGGGCAGGGUGAGUCGACCCCUAAGGCGAGGCCGAAAGGCGUAGUCGAUGGGAAACAGGUUAAUAUUCCUGUACUUGGUGUUACUGCGAAGGGGGGACGGAGAAGGCUAUGUCAGCCGGGCGACGGUUGUCCCGGUUUAAGCAUGUAGGCGGAGGUUCCAGGUAAAUCCGGUACCUUGUUAACGCUGAGGUGUGAUGACGAGGCACUACGGUGCUGAAGUGAUAAAUGCCCUGCUUCCAGGAAAAGCCUCUAAGCAUCAGGUAACACGAAAUCGUACCCCAAACCGACACAGGUGGUCAGGUAGAGAAUACCAAGGCGCUUGAGAGAACUCGGGUGAAGGAACUAGGCAAAAUGGUGCCGUAACUUCGGGAGAAGGCACGCUGAUAUGUAGGUGAAGCCCCUGCGGGCGGAGCUGAAAUCAGUCGAAGAUACCAGCUGGCUGCAACUGUUUAUUAAAAACACAGCACUGUGCAAACACGAAAGUGGACGUAUACGGUGUGACGCCUGCCCGGUGCCGGAAGGUUAAUUGAUGGGGUUAGCGGCAACGCGAAGCUCUUGAUCGAAGCCCCGGUAAACGGCGGCCGUAACUAUAACGGUCCUAAGGUAGCGAAAUUCCUUGUCGGGUAAGUUCCGACCUGCACGAAUGGCGUAAUGAUGGCCAGGCUGUCUCCACCCGAGACUCAGUGAAAUUGAACUCGCUGUGAAGAUGCAGUGUACCCGCGGCAAGACGGAAAGACCCCGUGAACCUUUACUAUAGCUUGACACUGAACACUGGUCCUUGAUGUGUAGGAUAGGUGGGAGGCUUUGAAGCGUGGACGCCAGUCUGCGUGGAGCCAACCUUGAAAUACCACCCUUUAAUGGCUGGUGUUCUAACGUAGACCCGUAAUCCGGGUUGCGGACAGUGUCUGGUGGGUAGUUUGACUGGGGCGGUCUCCUCCCAAAGAGUAACGGAGGAGCACGAAGGUUGGCUAAUCCUGGUCGGACAUCAGGAGGUUAGUGCAAUGGCAUAAGCCAGCUUGACUGCGAGCGUGACGGCGCGAGCAGGUGCGAAAGCAGGUCAUAGUGAUCCGGUGGUUCUGAAUGGAAGGGCCAUCGCUCAACGGAUAAAAGGUACUCCGGGGAUAACAGGCUGAUACCGCCCAAGAGUUCAUAUCGACGGCGGUGUUUGGCACCUCGAUGUCGGCUCAUCACAUCCUGGGGCUGAAGUAGGUCCCAAGGGUAUGGCUGUUCGCCAUUUAAAGUGGUACGCGAGCUGGGUUUAGAACGUCGUGAGACAGUUCGGUCCCUAUCUGCCGUGGGCGCUGGAGAAUUGAGGGGGGCUGCUCCUAGUACGAGAGGACCGGAGUGGACGCAUCACUGGUGUUCGGGUUGUCAUGCCAAUGGCACUGCCCGGUAGCUAAAUGCGGAAGAGAUAAGUGCUGAAAGCAUCUAAGCACGAAACUUGCCCCGAGAUGAGUUCUCCCUGAGACUUUAAGUCUCCUGAAGGAACGUUGAAGACGACGACGUUGAUAGGUCGGGUGUGUAAGCGCAGCGAUGCGUUGAGCUAACCGAUACUAAUGAACCGUGAGGCUUAACCUU